Molecule: ribosomal RNA, 544 nt
Filed under: uncultured Glomeromycotina
Lineage: Eukaryota; Fungi; Glomeromycota
Description: SSU rRNA
Rfam family: Eukaryotic small subunit ribosomal RNA
Source: RNAcentral
UUGGAGGGCAGUCUGGUGCCAGCAGCGCGGUAAUUCCAGCUCCAAUAGCGUAUAUUAAAGUUGUUGCAGUUAAAAAGCUCGUAGUUGAAUUUCGGGAUUAGUACGCUGGUCGUGCCUUCGGUACGUACUGGUGUUACUGAUUUCUACCUUCUGACGAACCAUCAUGUCAUUAAUUUGGUGUGGUGGGGAAUCAGGACUGUUACUUUGAAAAAAUUAGAGUGUUUAAAGCAGGCUCGCGCUUGAAUACAUUAGCAUGGAAUAAUGAAAUAGGACGUUGAUCCUAUUUUGUUGGUUUCUAGGAUUGACGUAAUGAUUAAUAGGGAUAGUUGGGGGCAUUAGUAUUCAAUUGUCAGAGGUGAAAUUCUUGGAUUUAUUGAAGACUAACUACUGCGAAAGCAUUUGCCAAGGAUGUUUUCAUUAAUCAAGAGCGAAAGUUAGGGGAUCGAAGACGAUCAGAUACCGUCGUAGUCUUAACCAUAAACUAUGCCGACUAGGGAUCGGAUGAUGUUAUUUUUAAUGACUCAUUCGGCGCCUUACGGGAAAC